Molecule: long non-coding RNA, 1487 nt
Filed under: Felis catus (domestic cat)
Lineage: Eukaryota; Metazoa; Chordata; Mammalia; Carnivora; Felidae
Description: lncRNA (ENSFCAG00000051995.1)
Source: RNAcentral
CGGAGAUAAUGGAAGUAACAUGGCCACCACAGUCGUAACACUGUUAUUAAUAACAAUGAAAUCCAGUGUAGAGUCCAAGGAGGGCAAUCCCUAUGCCCUCCUGCAAAUCUGCUGAUUGAAUCUGGGGAAGCCAAUCACCAUUGCUCUGGAUACUUGAAGAGACGGACAUUAGGGUUGCAUACUCUGUGAGCUGCGUUGAUUGACGUCAUGUGCUCUAGUACUAAACAAUUCAUUGACACACACAUUUCAGUAAACGGGAAAAAGAUGUGGAUAAGAGUGCAGGAUGCACUACAGCCUAGGUCAUUUCUUGACUGUGUUUAAUUUUAUGCUAACUCUUUAGUCAACUGGAAAACAUAGAGAAUUUGCCUUGAUUCAUUCUCCUUCUUAUAUCUGGAUAGGCAAAUAUUACCACCAUCAACAUGAUAAUAUUAUGAAUGAUAACUUAAGCCAUUCAUUGAGAACUCACUCUGUGCCACAUGCUGUUCUAAGUCUUUUCUGUGGAUGGAUCAGUUUAACUUUAACAAAACCCCUGUGAAGUAGGUGAAUGUCAUUAUCCCCAUUUUUCCAAUUAAGGAACUAGGGUUUAUAAAAGUUAUGAAAUGUGCUUAUGGUCAAGCAGAGCCUGGGUCCUGGGCCACUAUGUGUGUUGCCCUACUGAGUACAUGUGUUGAGGUGGGUAUAGAGAUGAAGUAUAUCAAGCCUCUGCCCACGAAGGUAAGUGGAAGGCAGCAGACAUAAAUAGUGAGGUGCAAUUCAAAGCAGGAUGGUAUGAGGAUCACAAGAGACACCGAAACAAAGGAAAACAGAAUGGAGAUGUUCAGGCUCUUGCUGACCCUGUAGUCAGAAGUCACACAUGCUUCAACAAAGCUGGCAUCAUUCAAAACAGAUGGCCUGCUGGGAGUGGCACAGCUUGGAUUUCAUCUUGUCAGAUCCUGGAAUUUCAGCACUGACAAGUGUAUUCCUAUCCUGUUCCUGUGAUCUAUUAUUUUCACCUAUCAAUUUGCCUUCAAAUUUCAAAAUGAGGUUGGACCUCCUGAGAUCCUACAGUGUACAGAGCCCCUCUGCCAACCCUCAGUGGACACUCGAUAUAACAGGGAAAACUAAACCUUUUCUUUAGGACAUUGGAAUGUUGGUGUUAUUUGUUACAUAGAAUGACCUAGCUCAUUCUAACCAACAGAUCUGGCAAGUUAUAGGUCAAGCUGCAUAAUUUAAAGCCUCCCCUGCAGGAGACUUCGCUUUGACAAGAGUAGAGGAAAAGAGUGGUGCUUAUAGACUCCCUAAGUUCCCAAAACUUUGAUUAAUAGAGAUGACUGACAUGACUCAGAGUUAAUGCUUCGAGUUAAUGCUCAGAGUUAAUUAGUCCAUUGCCAUUUGCAGUACAAAAGCCUACUUACACUUCUUAGUAAAGACAAUGACAAGCAAAAGAGAAGGAAGAAAGAUAGGGUGGGGGAAAUAAAUCGAUGUGAGGAAUUUUAAGGCUGAUUGCU